GAAUAAAUCUAAAUAAUUUAGAUUUUAAUUUCGACUUAAAAUUAUGAUUAAAUAAUUAAUCUAUUCA
This 67-nucleotide transfer RNA is filed under the name Ibalia sp. ZJUH 20220011. Its description in RNAcentral is "tRNA-Arg". The record is from RNAcentral. Lineage: Eukaryota; Metazoa; Arthropoda; Insecta; Hymenoptera; Ibaliidae.